Molecule: ribosomal RNA, 1194 nt
Filed under: Escherichia coli
Lineage: Bacteria; Pseudomonadati; Pseudomonadota; Gammaproteobacteria; Enterobacterales; Enterobacteriaceae
Description: partial 23S ribosomal RNA
Rfam family: Bacterial large subunit ribosomal RNA
Source: RNAcentral
GCGAUGAAGGACGUGCUAAUCUGCGAUAAGCGUCGGUAAGGUGAUAUGAACCGUUAUAACCGGCGAUUUCCGAAUGGGGAAACCCAGUGUGUUUCGACACACUAUCAUUAACUGAAUCCAUAGGUUAAUGAGGCGAACCGGGGGAACUGAAACAUCUAAGUACCCCGAGGAAAAGAAAUCAACCGAGAUUCCCCCAGUAGCGGCGAGCGAACGGGGAGCAGCCCAGAGCCUGAAUCAGUGUGUGUGUUAGUGGAAGCGUCUGGAAAGGCGCGCGAUACAGGGUGACAGCCCCGUACACAAAAAUGCACAUGCUGUGAGCUCGAUGAGUAGGGCGGGACACGUGGUAUCCUGUCUGAAUAUGGGGGGACCAUCCUCCAAGGCUAAAUACUCCUGACUGACCGAUAGUGAACCAGUACCGUGAGGGAAAGGCGAAAAGAACCCCGGCGAGGGGAGUGAAAAAGAACCUGAAACCGUGUACGUACAAGCAGUGGGAGCACGCUUAGGCGUGUGACUGCGUACCUUUUGUAUAAUGGGUCAGCGACUUAUAUUCUGUAGCAAGGUUAACCGAAUAGGGGAGCCGAAGGGAAACCGAGUCUUAACUGGGCGUUAAGUUGCAGGGUAUAGACCCGAAACCCGGUGAUCUAGCCAUGGGCAGGUUGAAGGUUGGGUAACACUAACUGGAGGACCGAACCGACUAAUGUUGAAAAAUUAGCGGAUGACUUGUGGCUGGGGGUGAAAGGCCAAUCAAACCGGGAGAUAGCUGGUUCUCCCCGAAAGCUAUUUAGGUAGCGCCUCGUGAAUUCAUCUCCGGGGGUAGAGCACUGUUUCGGCAAGGGGGUCAUCCCGACUUACCAACCCGAUGCAAACUGCGAAUACCGGAGAAUGUUAUCACGGGAGACACACGGCGGGUGCUAACGUCCGUCGUGAAGAGGGAAACAACCCAGACCGCCAGCUAAGGUCCCAAAGUCAUGGUUAAGUGGGAAACGAUGUGGGAAGGCCCAGACAGCCAGGAUGUUGGCUUAGAAGCAGCCAUCAUUUAAAGAAAGCGUAAUAGCUCACUGGUCGAGUCGGCCUGCGCGGAAGAUGUAACGGGGCUAAACCAUGCACCGAAGCUGCGGCAGCGACACUAUGUGUUGUUGGGUAGGGGAGCGUUCUGUAAGCCUGUGAAGGUGUACUGUGAGGUAUGCUGGAGGU